RNAcentral lists this ribosomal RNA (253 nucleotides) under uncultured bacterium. RNAcentral's name for it is "partial 16S ribosomal RNA". It matches the Rfam family "Bacterial small subunit ribosomal RNA", at positions 524 to 776 of the family's 1533-position model. The record is from RNAcentral.
UACGAAGGGGGCUAGCGUUGCUCGGAAUCACUGGGCGUAAAGGGUGCGUAGGCGGGUCUUUAAGUCCGGGGUGAAAUCCUGGAGCUCAACUCCAGAACUGCCUUUGAUACUGAAGAUCUUGAGUUCGGGAGAGGUGAGUGGAACUGCGAGUGUAGAGGUGAAAUUCGUAGAUAUUCGCAAGAACACCGGUGGCGAAGGCGGCCCACUGGUCCGGUACUGACGCUGAGGUGCGAAAGCGUGGGGAGCAAACAGG